This 345-nucleotide unclassified non-coding RNA is filed under the name uncultured Tulasnellaceae. Its description in RNAcentral is "sequence contains 5.8S rRNA gene". The record is from RNAcentral. Lineage: Eukaryota; Fungi; Basidiomycota; Agaricomycetes; Cantharellales; Tulasnellaceae.
GAACGCACCUUGCACCCUCUGGUAUUCCGGAGGGUAUGCCCGGUUGAGUGUCAUGAAUAUCUCAACUCCAAUGUUUUGUUAAAGGUCUUGUCGACUCGUCCUGCCGGCCUAGCGAGGCUGCUGUGACUGUUGCGAGGCUGAAGCGUUGGAGCUUGGACCUGAGCUCUGUUGGCCUUCCCAGGUCGACUGGCUAGAAAUGCAUCAGCGAUGACGUCCCUUGGGUCCAUCUCGGCGUGAUAAGUUGAUCGUCGCAAAGGUCUCUCGGGUUGGCUCGCUCCUAAUCGUCUUCGGACAGCCUCUGACGUUUACACCUCAACUCGGGUAGGACUACCCGCUGAACUUAAG